Brassica napus (rape) is the source of this 2303-nucleotide long non-coding RNA. RefSeq lists it as uncharacterized. The record is from RefSeq and is a predicted model, not a curated record. The transcript has 5 exons. Lineage: Eukaryota; Viridiplantae; Streptophyta; Magnoliopsida; Brassicales; Brassicaceae.
AAGCGACGUCGUUUGGACUUAAAGGAGAUUAGAGAAGACGAUUAACCCCGUCUAAUUAAUCCAUUAUCCGAGUUAAUGUCGUAUUUAAUUUGGUUUAGUCAAACUAAAUUGAGGUUUAUAGUGAUUAUUCAAAUUAAGUUGGUGCUUUAAAUGGUCCUAAUGAAAGUUCAUGUUUUUUUCAACCAAAUUUGAAAGUUCGUGAUUUAAAUGAUAAUUUUCCCUUUUUCCCUUUUUUUUGGUAUGGGCUAUCGCCAUGAUUUUCCAACGUAAGCAUGCUUAAAAAGACGAAAUGUAAUUAUAAAUAUAGUCCUAUUCCAUAUUCGAAAAAAACUAAUUAAAAAGAAAGUAGUACUUAGCUUUCCAUCUACUUUCUUGCAAUUAAAAAAUAAGUUGGUGAAACCUAUUUUUAUACUUUUGAAUCGUAUAUGAUAUAUCGUAUCACCAUAUAAUGCAUAUGGUUUGAGCAGAGAGCUAAAGAGAGAGAGAGAGAGAUGAUCCCCAUGCCUUCUCCAGAGACUCAUGAUCACUUCAUUCUCGAUCGAUCAAAGGUUGAAGAAGAAGUGAAGCAUAGAUCAACAGCAUAUACAUGAUGGCAAAUGAUAUGUUUAAAAUCAGAAAAUUUUCAAUCUGGAUUUACUAGUUGAUGGUAUUGGGUUUGAGUUUGAUCGAAUAUAGAUGGACAUCUCUUUUCUUAAGGUUGCUUUGAAGAAAAGGAUGGGAGAUGCCCAUGCCUUGAGUCUUGAGGCAAGUAAACGAUCACCAGUUCCCCCUUUCAAAACUUCAAUCUCUUUGUUAAACACGAGUACUAUUACAUAACCCAUCUUUUGAUUUUUAUACAAAAGCUCACGUUUUUCUUUCAUCGUUUACGUAUGAAUUGAAGUUAUGCAGUUCAAUUCGAUUGUUUUAUGAAAUGUAACUUCUCAUUCAAUAUUUGAUGUAGUGUAUAGGGAAUCCCAAAAAGAUAAAAAGAAAACCAUAUAAAAGAAAAAAUAUAUCGUUUGCAUGUUAAAAGGAAUUAUCGUCGAUACAUUUAAAAUUGUUCAGAUCAACUGUAGAAUUAAUAUAUGUGAUAAAUCUAUGUUUAUGUUUCUAUGUAUCAGCUGCAAAUUAUAACGUUUAGGAUAGUUUAAUCAAUAGUAAGUAAAUUUUGAAGCUAUGAAAUAUAUAAGGUGUAUACUUGCAUACCAAGCCUGAAUAGAAGCCCAUAAAGCAUAUGCUUUGGGGCAGGCGAGAUAAUCUAUACAAUACUAAAAGUUGAAUAAGCUCAACACCUAAGGUGUCCACAUCAGAUUAAAUAAUCCACCAAUCACAGACAAUAUUUUCGCCACGUCAUUUAAGCCCAUGUCGAGAUUUAAUGUUGGGUUUCUUAGCCUAAACCCUAAAUUAUUUUGUCAUGGCCCAAAAUAAAGUCCACCACCCGUGGCUUCUUCGAUCAUAUUUUCCUCCGCCAGUUUCUCAGUUCGUCUUUUCCAAUUCGAGUUCAUUCAUGAAGCCUCAGUUACUGUGAUCCACUUAUAAUCAAUCAAUUGUCUUCUUUACUUCCGUAUUUAUUUAUGCGUUUCACCUCGCUAUCUAUCUACUUCUAUAUAAACCGGUUCCUCGAAGCUUGCUGCCAUUCGAUUGAGCAAAGAGAUUCAGGUUUCGUUCUUUGGAAAAUUUUGAUGCUGAUUGCAAUAACAGAGAAAUCUGUGAUGGUGCUAAGUGGCUCACGCGGAUUCUGUUACACAUUGGAAUUGAAAAAUGAGCAAGAAGCAAAACAAAUGAAGAAGAAGAAGAUUAGAACUCACUUUCAUGCUAUUUUGUUAACUGGCGGUUGUUGAGUAAUGACUGGAAACCGUUUCAUGGAUAGAGGCGUGAGCAAGGAGUUGAAAACCCAAUAGCUUCUGCAACUCUAGCUGGUGAUUUAGGAAUUGGGGCUGAACAGCUUCUGCUGAUGUGAAAAGAUCACACCUUGCUUCUCUGCAGUAAUGUAGAAGGUAAGUUCUCUGGUCUCUUUGUUGGCUUUUCUGUAUUUUAUCAUUUUGGUCUGCACUAUUGUUUUUGUUUGUGGAAGAUUCAGGGUAAAUGAUGAUGAUUUGCUGAAGAUCAAGAACACUUAUCGUCCUAUCCUCUCAAGAAAGAGAAAGGGUUUAUGGUAUGUAUAUAAAGUCAAUAAUAUUGUUACAAUUCAAAAGCAAAUAUAAAGUCAUUGUUUAUAAUUUGAUCAAAAUCGUCAUGUUUCACUAUGAUAAUAGAAAAGGUAGGUAAUUUCCUUUUGUUUACCUUUUAAUCAUUCUUGCAUAUUAUUAAAUCUUAGUCAAUCA